GAAUUAUAUUCAUUUCAUAAUUUUGCUUUAAUUUUUUCACUCAGAAAACAGCAGUGAUUGGUCUAGGAUAACACCAGACGUGAAGCAUCAAACAACUGUUUCUGAGUAUACGAAUAACCAUUCAUAUCUGCAAAACAGGAUUUCUGCCGUUGAGAACACGAAUACAGCUUCUAAAUGGAUGAAUAAAACCAAAGAUCUACAAACAAAGUUAACUUCCAGUCUGUAUCCAGCACUACGUCAGGAUCUAUAUGUUAAGCAUGACAUAGAUACCUGGAUCGCUGUAAGCUGCUCACUAAUUGGAUCUCUUGUAACACUCAUUCUAAUUGGAUGUCUUCUUUUCUUCCGAUCUCGCUCAAAACUCAGGAUGAAACAUCCUAAAAGAAUUGGAAGGAUUUUGUCUUCAAGCACAGGAGCAGAUAGAAACUUGGAUCUGCCAGGACACUUUGAACUUUCUGCACUCACUCCAGAACCUCAAUACCAAGAUGAUGACAUCUAUUCUGAGAUAAGGUUUUCUCAAAUUGACGGUGCAUGUGCAGCAUCAUGCAUGGACACAAUUUCCAAAAUUGAAAAAUGUUGUAAGAUCUCUAAAGAACCAAAUCGUAAGAUAAUUACAAAUUUGUACAAAAAAUGUUCAUUUGAAACCGAAUAUGAUCAAAUCAAUCUGAAAAUGACUUCGAUUUUCUCACCGUUGUUACAUAAGGAGCGAAAAGUUGUUUGUGGCAAAGAUCAAGAAUUGGAUGUUCUAUCAUCGCAAAAAGAAGUUGACGCUCAUGAUGAAAGUUGUACAUCUCUGACAUUACCUCCAAGGUUGGAGAGAUUUCAAACAAAAGAGAACGACCAAUUCAUGCCACACUCAUCUAUUUUACACCACACUGUAUCUGAAAACGAACUAUAUACUGAGAAGAAAGAAGAGAGGAGAACUAUGCAGAAUUAAAUCAGGCCAAAUAUAUGACUAUAUCUGGUCCCAACGUAAAGGAAGGAGAAGAUCGACCGUACAGUGUUGUUUAUUUGUCGUCAUUUAAUAAUUUUAAUUCCAAAGAAAGAUUAAAGCCAGACACAGGGUUUCCUAGCAAUUUUAAACCAGAAGAAAAAAGUUUUAAAGCCAGAAUUAAAUCAAGCCAAACAUAUGGCGGCAUCUGAUCCCAACGUAAAAGAAGAAGAUCGACCUUACAGUGUUGUUCAUUUGUCAUUAUAUAAUUAUGUGAAUUCCAAAGAAAGAGGGAAGCCGGGCAAAAUAUUUUCUUGUGAUGCUAAACGAGAAGAAAAGGAAUUAUCAAAACCAGAUGUCCUGGAACAUUUGAAUAACAGACCAUAUAGUAACGUACAUUCAACAACUUGGCCGAAUGAUGAACUUUAGUACUAUAUGUACGUAUAGAGAUAUAAGUGUAUCAUCACGUUUGUAUAAACACAUACAUCAAACAUUAAAUCACCGUUCACGGUAGCCUAGUGGUAGAGCGUUCGCUUCGUGAUCGGGAGGUCCGGGUUCGAUUCUCGUUCCCGGCGCCGCGUCAAACCUAAGACGUAAAAAUAGGUAGUGACUGUUUCUUCGCCAAGCGAUCGGCAUUAGAAGUGAAAGUCACGGGUUUUUCGGAUAUGACCUUAAAAACGUAGGUCCCGUGUCACGGUAGGCGCUGGCACGAUAAAGAACCCUCACUGCUGAAUGGCCCUGAGUGCCGAGUAUAGGUCUAAAUUUGAAGCCCUUCACCGGCAUACGGUGACGUCUUGACGUCUCCAUAUGAGUGAAAAAUUCUCAAGAGGGACGUUAAACAAUAUACAAUCAAUCAAUCAAACAUUAAAUCUAUUAUAUCAAAAUAAAAACACGGAAUUACUUGACAAGAUAUGCAAACAUACUCUAACAGAAAUAAAGUGGUACAAACAUACAAUGAUGUAUUUAUAUAUUAGGUGAUGUACAUGCAAUAAAUUCAUGGUGCAAUUGAAUUUGGAAACCCUUUUCCUCUUCGAGAAGGCAGAGAAUUAAAAGAUAAAAAAAACACUGCUUUUCCCGCCUUCC
Molecule: RNA transcript, 2011 nt
Organism: Saccostrea cuccullata (small rock oyster)
Lineage: Eukaryota; Metazoa; Mollusca; Bivalvia; Ostreida; Ostreidae
Exons: 4
Source: RefSeq, a predicted model, not a curated record